GAUCGAUAUUUUAUGAAAAAAAACGUGUAAUAUCUAUAUAUAUUAAUACGAACACACAAAGAUAAAAUGUUUUUUCCAAGACUUUAAAAAGUGGUUGAACAAAAGUUUGUGAACAUUUUAGGAUAAGUGCCAAUAUUAUACAUAAAUCAUUCGACUAUCUAUCACUCUUGGCGCUUUGGAAGAUAGACAGGACUUCCUAAUAAUAACAAAGCUCACAAAAACCUUAUUCAACGCUAACAACUCCCCAAUCAUAAAAAAUAUUAAAAUCAUACCGCUCAUCAAAACGUCCCCCAUACAAAUCAGCAAUAGACCGAAUAAUAGAAAAAGCAAAGCCCAUUAACUACCAUUUAAACAACAAAAAAUACCCGCGCAGUCCUUACCUCCCUGGAACACCAAUCUCUCCAAAAUUGACACAACACUCAAUAAGUUCAACGAAAGCAACACGACCCCACAACUUUUCAGGAGACUUUUUACAGAAAAGCAAACGAACGGUCUUCGCAGCAGAGCUUCUAGCCCUUAUAGGCCCUAAAAACCAACAAAAAUAAAAGAGGAAAAUUCUGCAUAUGUUCAGACUCACUUUCCGCUAUUAAAAAUCUAAACAACAGCGAUCACUACAUAUCUCACGCACGCAACCUACUACAAAAAUUCAAUACCAAUUUUAAACUCCUUUGGAUACUAGGACAAGUUGGAAUACAACAAGCCAACCACUUACAACUAUUGAAUAAGAAAUACCUAACCAAGAUGAAAAAAACUUGGUUUCAAACAUCCAACAAAUCAUCUUAUCAGACUCGGGACAUACACUAAUAACACACAAGCACUACCUCGACCAAACCCAACAGACAAUCAGUCAGUUCUGCAACGACAAACAUAUUAAAUAUCCUUAAAUACAUUUAUAUCGUCAAUCUGUACUACCAGCUAUAAUGUAACCUUAACAAGAUUAUUCUAUCCAUCUAGAUGUAAACAAGGAGGAAGGCCUCUGCUGCCGCAGCUUUUAUUAAUUCACUAGCUCUUAAUUUAAAUUAUUUGUUAUUUUAUUAGAAAUGCUUACUUAUAUCUCUUAUAUAUUUUUAAUGGAAUCAAGUAUAUACAUUUAUUUUACGACUAACAGUAAAAAUUUAGUUUACAAAAGAAUUAUAUAUCAAGUAACAGUGUUUAUACCCGUUACUCGU
Non-coding RNA from Drosophila melanogaster (fruit fly), 1169 nucleotides. Lineage: Eukaryota; Metazoa; Arthropoda; Insecta; Diptera; Drosophilidae. The record is from Ensembl.